This 460-nucleotide ribosomal RNA is filed under the name uncultured bacterium. RNAcentral describes it as "partial 16S ribosomal RNA". It matches the Rfam family "Bacterial small subunit ribosomal RNA", at positions 338 to 795 of the family's 1533-position model. The record is from RNAcentral.
CCUACGGGAGGCAGCAGUGAGGAAUAUUGGUCAAUGGACGAGAGUCUGAACCAGCCAAGUAGCGUGAAGGAUGACUGCCCUAUGGGUUGUAAACUUCUUUUAUAUGGGAAUAAAAUGUUCCACGUGUGGGAUUUUGUAUGUACCAUAUGAAUAAGGAUCGGCUAACUCCGUGCCAGCAGCCGCGGUAAUACGGAGGAUCCGAGCGUUAUCCGGAUUUAUUGGGUUUAAAGGGAGCGUAGGUGGAUUGUUAAGUCAGUUGUGAAAGUUUGCGGCUCAACCGUAAAAUUGCAGUUGAAACUGGCAGUCUGGAGUACAGUAGAGGUGGGCGGAAUUCGUGGUGUAGCGGUGAAAUGCUUAGAUAUCACGAAAAACUCCGAUUGCGAAGGCAGCUCACUGGACUGCAACUGACACUGAGGCUCGAAAGUGUGGGUAUCAAACAGGAUUAGAUACCCCUGUAGUC